RNAcentral lists this ribosomal RNA (481 nucleotides) under Colwellia-like bacterium S1C20. RNAcentral's name for it is "bacterial SSU rRNA". It matches the Rfam family "Bacterial small subunit ribosomal RNA", at positions 499 to 982 of the family's 1533-position model. The record is from RNAcentral. Lineage: Bacteria; Pseudomonadati; Pseudomonadota; Gammaproteobacteria.
UAACUCGUGCCAGCAGCCGCGUAAUACGAGGGGUGCAAGCGUUAAUCGGAAUUACUGGGCGUAAAGCGUUCGUAGGCGGUUUGUUAAGCAAGAUGUGAAAGCCCAGGGCUCAACCUUGGAACUGCAUUUUGAACUGGUAGACUAGAGUACUGUAGAGGGUGGUGGAAUUUCCAGUGUAGCGGUGAAAUGCGUAGAGAUUGGAAGGAACAUCAGUGGCGAAGGCGGCCACCUGGACAGAUACUGACGCUGAGGAACGAAAGCGUGGGGAGCGAACAGGAUUAGAUACCCUGGUAGUCCACGCCGUAAACGAUGUCAACUAGCCGUUUGUGUCCUUGAGACGUGAGUGGCGCANUAACGCACUAAGUUGACCGCCUGGGGAGUACGGCCGCAAGGUUAAAACUCAAAUGAAUUGACGGGGGCCGCACAAGCGGUGGAGCAUGUGGUUUAAUUCGAUGCAACGCGAAGAACCUUACCAUCCCUU